This 4883-nucleotide unclassified non-coding RNA is filed under the name Ceratitis capitata (Mediterranean fruit fly). RNAcentral's name for it is "neuroglian, transcript variant X9". The record is from RNAcentral. Lineage: Eukaryota; Metazoa; Arthropoda; Insecta; Diptera; Tephritidae.
CGCAGUUGUGCGCGAGAAGCCGAAUUGUUGAGACGCGAGUGAAAUUAGUGCUGGCUGAGCUGCUUUCAUAGAAUUCUCUGCUAGUAGUGGUUUAAUUUUCAAAUUUAUUAAAAUUGCAUAAGUGUAAAGUUAUUCCCAAGGACACACAUUCAUUUAGUUAGUAGUGCAUGGACGAGCAGUGCGAAGCUUAGAUGGAUGGAUUGUAUUAGAUUCACACAUACAUAUAUAUAUAAUAUUUGAGUAAUACGAAUACUUUUAUACAAUCACAUCUACAAAUGUCCAUGCUCACGUCUGCACUUAGUUAUAUAUUUGAAUAGACUGAACAUUCCAGACAGACAUUGCUUACUCUCUUUCUACAAACCGACUUCGUAGCAGAGCAAGCAAAUAAAUAAAUAAAGACCACAGCAACAAACAAGGAAUAUCAGAAGAAGUAUCCUGCUCGAAUUACGUGCGGGAUAGAAUAUAAAUAUAUAUAGAUAUCUACAUAUACUUCACAGUCACAGCAGUCAGACUAACAUCCACAGGAUGGGUCGGCUAACACAAAUGCUGGCCGUCCUGCUGCUGGUAGCUGCUUUAAGCUCAGCAAAUGCAGAGAGUAAAAUAAAUUCACCGCCUCGUAUUAUAAAACAGCCCCCGACAGAUGAGCUACUUUUCAAAGUUGCCGUACAAAAUAAGGAAAGUGAUAAGCCAUUCAUCAUCGAGUGUGAGGCUGAAGGAAAACCGGAUCCAAGUUACCGAUGGAUCAAAAACGGCAAAAAAUUCGAUUGGCAAGCCUACGACAACCGCAUGCUGCAACAGCCCGGCCGUGGUACACUCGUAAUCACAUCACCCAAAGAUGAGGAUAUGGGACAGUAUCAGUGUUUCGCUGAGAACGAAUUUGGUACAGCCACCUCAAACUCGGUAUUCGUACGUAAAGCCGAAUUGAAUGCAUUCAAAGAUGAAGUAGCGAAAACAAUCGAAACCAACGAAGGUGAGCCCUUCUCGCUCAGUUGCGAAGCGCCCGACGGUUGGCCCAAACCCAUUGUCAAUUGGUUGAUACAGCAUUCUUUGGAAGGCACCAUUAAGUCGAUCAACAACUCACGCAUGACACUCGAUCCCGAAGGUACUCUCUGGUUCUCAAAUGUGACACGUGAAGAUGCUUCCGAUGAUUUCUUCUAUGCCUGCUCGGCUACCUCAGUGUUCCGUAAUGAAUAUAAGAUCGGUAAUAAAGUUUUGUUGGAUGUGAAACAGACCGGCAUCAGCGCUGCACUGAACAAACAACAGCCGAAACGUCAAUAUGUGACACGUAAAAACGAGGUGGCAUUGCGAGGUAAACGUGUUGAGUUGUACUGUAUUUUCGGUGGCACACCGCUGCCGCAAACAGUGUGGUCGAAAAAUGGCGCGCCUAUAGAAUGGAGCGAUCGCAUAACGCAGGGUCACUAUGGUAAAUCUCUGGUUAUCCGUCAGGCGAGCUUCGACGAUGAAGGCACUUACACCUGUGAUGUUUCGAACGGUGUUGGCAAUGCACAAUCAUACUCCAUCAAACUGCAGAUCUUGGCGACACCGUACUUCACCAAAGAGCCGGAGGUACAAAAUGCCGCAGAGGAUGAAGAAGUCACAUUCGAGUGCGCUGCAGCUGGUAAUCCCGAACCGACAAUUCAAUGGGUACAUAAUGGCAAACCAAUCGCGCAGUCACCACCUAAUACACGCCGUAUUGUUGAAAAUAAUAGAAUUAUCAUACGUGAUCUUGUGAAGGCAGAUACGGGUAAUUACGGUUGUAACGCCACCAAUUCGCUUGGCUACGUCUACAAGGAUGUCUACCUCAACGUUUUGGCUCUACCACCAGAGAUUCAAGAAGCACCACGCAAGGAAGCCACCGUUGAUGGUAAAAAUGUAACUCUGCGUUGUCGUGUCUUUGGUGCACCCAAACCACAAGUGAAAUGGAUACACAAUCAUCAGGAGCUGACGGGUGGACGAUACAACACGUUGCCCUCGGGUGAUUUGGAGAUCCAAGAAGUUGCUUUCAGCGAUGAAGGUGACUACACUUGCUUUGCCACAAACAAAUUUGGUAAGAUCUCAGCGAACGGCACUUUGUUGGUUAUGAAGAGAACGACUAUUAUACACGAACCACAGAAUUACGAGGUGGCAGCGGGUAAGUCGGCAACUUUCCGUUGCAAUGAAGAGCACGAUGAAAAACUGGAUCUGGAAAUUGAGUGGUGGAAAGAUGGACAAGCUAUUGAUUUCGAAGCGGAAGCACGUUUCGUUAAAACCAAUGACAACUCUCUAACGAUUCCAAAGACCGUAGAGCUUGAUUCGGGCGAAUAUACUUGUGUCGCGCGUACAAGUUUGGACGAGGCCUCGGCUAAAGCCAAUCUUAUUGUACAGGACGUGCCGAAUGCACCGCGUUUAGUUGGCAUCGUUUGUAUGGCGAAUAGGAUAAGAGUGACGUGGGAACCACAGGGAGAUAAUCGUUCACCAAUUCUUUAUUACACUAUCGAAUUCAAUACCUCAUUCACACCCGACUCUUGGGAUGUCUCAUACGAUAAAGUACCGUCCACUGAAACUGCGUUCGUUGUCGAUUUAACGCCUUGGUCUAACUAUACUUUCCGUGUGAAGGCGUUCAACAAAAUCGGUCCCUCACCGCCUUCCGAACACAGUGAGAUAUGUACAACACCGCCAGAUGUGCCCUACAAGAACCCCGACAAUGUACAAGGCAUGGGUACGGAACCAAACAAUUUAGUGAUAUCCUGGACACCAAUGCCAGAGAUCGAUCACAAUGCGCCAGAUUUCCAUUAUCGUGUCUCUUGGAAACGUGAUAUUCCUGCAGCAUCUUGGGAGAGUAAAGAUAUAUACGAUUGGCGGCAAAAUAAUUUAGUAAUACCGGAUCAACCAACUUAUGUGCCGUAUCUGAUUAAAGUGGUUGCUAUAAAUAAGCAUGGCGAGGCGAAUGUUGCACCCACAGAGAUCAUUGGCUAUUCAGGAGAAGACCGUCCCUUGGAAGCACCUACCAACUUUAGUAUGGUCCAGGUUACCGCCGCCACCACAGCCAUGUUACGCUGGAACCACGUUAGUCCUGAAUCGGUGCGUGGCCGUUUCAAGGGUUAUAAAAUUCAAACAUGGACUGAGAAAGAAGGUGAGGAGGCUCUCCGUGAAAUACAUGUGGAUGCUAUCUCCGAUCAGGCACUCGUUACACAAUUCAAACCCGAUUCGAAGAACUUUGCACGCGUCCUCGCCUACAAUGGUCGCUUUAAUGGUCCACCUAGUAUAGUCAUUGAUUUUGAUACACCCGAAGGUGUACCAUCACCUGUGCAAUCACUAGAUGCUUAUCCACUCGGUUCAUCUGCUUUCUGGCUCGUUUGGAAGAAACCACUACAACCGAAUGGAAAACUAACUGGCUACAAAAUCUACUAUGAAGAGGUUAAGGGCAGCUAUGUAAGUCAACGGCUCGAACUCAACCCGCAAAUUAAUAAUCCCGAUACUACGAGUGCGAAAUUGGCAGGUUUAUCGGCCAACACUAAAUAUAGAAUCUCAAUAACGGCGACUACGAAAAUGGGCGAGGGAUCAGAACAUUUCAUUGAGAAACGCACUUUACCGAAAGAUUCACUGAAACCUGCUAUACCGACAUUUACUUUGGAACCAUUACCGUCAGAGAAUGGCAAUGCUAGAUAUCGCAUUAACUGGUUGCCUAAUACCGAAGGACAUGCUGGCACACACUUCUACACACAAUACAGAAUCAAAGGUGAGCCCAAUUUCGCAAAAGUAGCUGAAGAGUUCUCUAAGGAUUAUCAAGAGAUUUUGGGUCUCAAUCCCGAUAAUGUGUAUGAAUUCCGUGUUGUAUCUGUCGAUGGUGAUAAUGAAACGCCCAGUGAAUUGCGUGAAAUCGUCAUAGAUGGACCCACAAAAGUGCCCAAUCAGAAUGUGGCGAAUGCCGGUUGGUUUAUUGGCAUGAUGUUGGCGUUGGCCUUCAUCAUAAUAUUGUUCAUUAUCAUAUGUAUAAUAAGACGUAAUCGUGGUGGCAAAUAUGAUGUACAUGAUCGUGAAUUGGCGAAUGGUCGUCGUGACUAUCCGGAUGAAGGCGGGUUCCAUGAAUACUCACAGCCAUUGGAUAACAAGAGCGCAGGUCGCCAGUCGGUUAGUUCGGCGAAUAAGCCUGGUGUGGAGAGUGACACCGAUUCGAUGGCCGAAUAUGGUGAUGGUGAUACAGCAGCUGUUGCAUAUAAAGGCAGAGGCAUUGCCAAUAAUUUAGCCCCAGUACCCGAACUGUAAGAUGAAGCUGCCAACCUAGCAGCGAAUAUGUUAAAACAUUAGCCAAGCAAUUCAAUUACUACUUCACAAAUCAAAUGAAAAAAUAGUAAAUUUAUUUCAAAGGUUUAAAUGAAGAUGGCUCUUUUAUUGGCCAAUAUGGACGUAAAGGACUUUGAUUUGAAGCAGUGUAAACAGUUUUAAACCAUUUUUGUAUUCGUAACCGUUAGAAAUAAACACAAUCAUGACAGAAAGAGAGAGCGCAAGCGCAUCAGCAUUCACGGCAAACAACAAUAACAAAAUUAUCAACAACCAACAAAAUGUUUAGAUUACUGCCAAACAAUAUUCAAAUUUCGCACAAUGAUGAAAAUGUUUUAUAAGCCGAAACCAGUUAAUAUAUAUAUUUUUUGUAUCAUACUUAAAAAAAAACCUGCUGAACAAAAACGAAAAAAAUAUAUUUCAUAUUACCGCAAUAAUUUUGUAUCUGUUAAAAUCAUCCAUUCACACAUAAGCAUACAUUCAUAACCAGAUAACAAACAAACAAAAAGCAAAAAAACAAAAACAGUGCAGCACCGAGAGUGAAAACUCUUUUGUAUUUUUUUUUUUUUAUUUAACUAUACGUAUACCUAUGUAUGUAGUUUAAAAUGUGUUUUAUAAGAAAA